GCACCGGGAAUUGUCUUUCC
RNAcentral lists this microRNA (20 nucleotides) under Sphaeroforma arctica. Lineage: Eukaryota; Ichthyosporea; Ichthyophonida. RNAcentral also lists the same sequence under 1 other name. The record is from RNAcentral.